This 71-nucleotide transfer RNA is filed under the name Chelydra serpentina (North American snapping turtle). Its description in RNAcentral is "tRNA-Glu". It matches the Rfam family "tRNA". From Rfam's summary of the family: Transfer RNA (tRNA) molecules are approximately 80 nucleotides in length. Their secondary structure includes four short double-helical elements and three loops (D, anti-codon, and T loops). The record is from RNAcentral. Lineage: Eukaryota; Metazoa; Chordata; Testudines; Chelydridae.
UAGGUUUUUGUAGUUGAAUACAACGGUGGUUUUUCAAAUCAUUGGUCUUGGUUGGAGUCCAAGCAAGAAUU